RNAcentral lists this ribosomal RNA (428 nucleotides) under uncultured bacterium. Its description in RNAcentral is "bacterial SSU rRNA". It matches the Rfam family "Bacterial small subunit ribosomal RNA", at positions 355 to 775 of the family's 1533-position model. The record is from RNAcentral.
UGGGGAAUCUUGCGCAAUGCGCGAAAGCGUGACGCAGCAACGCCGCGUGGGGGAAGAAGGCCUUCGGGUUGUAAACCCCUUUCAGGAGGGACGAAGGCACGGCGGUGAACAGCCGUCCGUGCUGACGGUACCUCCAGAAGAAGCCCCGGCUAACUACGUGCCAGCAGCCGCGGUAAUACGUAGGGGGCAAGCGUUGUCCGGAAUCAUUGGGCGUAAAGCGCGCGUAGGCGGCCCGGUAAGUCCGCUGUAAAAGUCCAGGGCUCAACCCUGGAAAGCCGGUGGAAACUGUCGGGCUAGAGUCCGGAAGAGGCGAGUGGAAUUCCUGGUGUAGCGGUGGAAUGCGCAGAUAUCAGGAGGAACACCGAUGGCGAAGGCAGCUCGCUGGGACGGUACUGACGCUGAGGCGCGAAAGCGUGGGGAGCGAACAG